Molecule: long non-coding RNA, 1198 nt
Organism: Vitis vinifera (wine grape)
Lineage: Eukaryota; Viridiplantae; Streptophyta; Magnoliopsida; Vitales; Vitaceae
Exons: 2
Source: RefSeq, a predicted model, not a curated record
UUCUCUUUCGCAUUUUCUCGUCAAGGCUUCCCUUUCGCAUAAUCUGGGUGUUUUGACAGUGGUAUGAUAUUGUGAGAGAUACUGAAUCUCUGGCUUCGACGACGUCUUGAACCACAUUUUUUUCAUCGUAUCUGAAAGCCCCACUAGUCUAAGGUAAAGUCCUCACAAAGCCUUCCAAAUCCAUCCCAAUCCCCCAAAAUAUUCAUUUCAAAGCCCCCAUAUUUAUAUUUAUGGCGUUUCCACCUUGAGAUCAGAAGCAGUACAAAUCUUUAUUUGUUACAUUCUACUUAUUUCAUGCUUUGCCCUAGGUGUUUUGGGUUUGGGCCUAUUUGGUUGCUGAGAAAAUUUGGGGAAAAAAAACUUGGGGUUUCAUUUUCAAUUUUUGAAUACAGGGAAACCCAGAAACGGAAAUAAAUUGGUUGCCGAGAAAAUUUGGGAAAAAAAGAAAUAAACUUGGGGUUUCAUUUUCAAUUUUUGAGUAUAGGGAAACCCAUAAACGGAAAUAAAAAAGUCAACUCACCAGGGUUUUUCUUUUGUUUUGUUUUUCAUUUUCUCAUGAACCAAACGGUGGGCAAUUGCGAGGCUUUUCUUUGGCCAAGAGUGGUUUUGUGCUUUGCUUGGGUGGUAGGAAAAAGGAGGUCAAAAUAAAUAGUCGAUGCUCCAACAAAAAACUUAUACAUCUACUUGAUGAUCUAAGUGAUGAAAAGAAGAGUAUAAUUCAACAUAUUGGCUUUGGUGGAUAAUAACUCAUUUCAAUAUAACCCACUGUAGGUUAGACAUAGGACAAGAAAGGCAAUUUCCAAUAACUUGUUCUGAUGUAGGUGAAAUUCUGGGUAUUCCAUAUAUUGGUAGGAGGUUCCUACUUUCACCUACCAAUAGGAAUAAUAGGAUGGAAAACCUAUUAGAUCUUAGAGAUAGACUGAUUUCAAUGGAAGACAUGGGCGAGUUAAAAAAAUUGUUUAUCUUCUUCUCAUGUGCUACAUUACUUUCUCCAACAUCAAAGUUGGAUGGUAGUCAUGAGUUGUGGUGUACUUUGCUUACUGGAGACUUUGACAUCAAUGUUAAUUGGGGCCAAUUUGUACUUGACACAUUGGUUGCUAGAAUUAGACAUUUUCGAUUGGGUAAAGGCUCAUGGUUUAUAGGUUGCCUUAUUUUUUUACAUGUAGAUACCUUUUUUUAUUAAAUGCUAAAGUUUUCC